RNAcentral lists this long non-coding RNA (3052 nucleotides) under Brassica napus (rape). RNAcentral describes it as "long non-coding RNA (BNAP_LNC013425)". Lineage: Eukaryota; Viridiplantae; Streptophyta; Magnoliopsida; Brassicales; Brassicaceae. The record is from RNAcentral.
ACUUCCUGGUGAUUCUCCACCACUUUAUGUAUCCAAAUCAAGGUUCUCACAAAGUGAUUCAUCCUGGUUUGAUUGGAACGACGAUGAAGCUGUGCUAUUCCCAAACUGGGAAACUGGAAUCACCUGAUUUGAAAGUGGGAUAACUUCUUCAUCCCAACUCCUUUGAGAUUUAUUCAACUUCCAGGUGAUUCUCCACCACUUUAUGUAUCCCAAUCAAGCUUCUUACAAAGAGAUUCAUCCUGGUAUGAUUGGAACGACGAAGAAGCUGUCAUAUUCCCAAACUGGGAAACUGGAAUCACCUGAUUUGAAAGUGGGAUAACUUCUUCUUGCUAGCUCGUAUGAGAUUUAUUCAACUUCCUGGUUAUUCUCCACCACUUUAUGUAUCCAAAUCAAGCUUCUCACAAAGUGAUUCAUCCUGGUUUGAUUGGAACGACGAAGAAGCUGUUCUAUUCCCAAACAGGGAAACUGGAAUCAUCUGAUUUGAAAGUGGGAUAACUUCUUCUUGCCAACUCCAAUGAGAUUUAUUCAACUUCCUUGUGAUUCUCCACCACGUUAUGUAUCCAAAUCAGGCUUCUCACAACGUGAUUCAUCCUGGUUUGAUUGGAGCGACGAAGAAGCUGUGCUAUUCCCAAACAGGGAAACUGGAAUCACUUGAUACCAAAUACACUUUUGUGUAUUAGAGUGUGUUUAAGAACAAUCAGAUUGUUUUGUGUAAGAUUAAAGAGAUUGAGAAAAUAAGUAGAGAGAGAAUAGAGAGAAUACUCAAAACUCCAUUAGUUGAUUUAAUGUCUCAGAUACAAGUUAUAUAUGAAGAGAUAAGGCUGGUACAAAGGGGAUUUCGAAAUGGAACUCAAAGCAUGUGAAGUCAAAGCUAGCUGGAUGGUUGAGAGGCUUCACAUGCUUGGACAGGCUGUAAAGUAGCUUUUCCUUUCCAGCUAUGACCAGACCUUAUCCAAACUGAUCCUUUCUUAUCCAGACUGCUCCUUGGCGUGAUAUACUCUCCAAAGUGUUGCAAGGUAACUUCCCAAGCCUUUAACUUAGUUACCACAGUAAAAGCUAAAGUUACUGUGGUAAAUCCCCAAAGUUACUGACUGCUUUAAUACUCUUCCUUUAUAGAUGUAUCCACUCUUUAUCUCCUCUUCUCAACAUUCCCAAACUGGGAAGCUGGAAUCACGUGAUUUGAAAGUGGGAUAACUUCUUCAUCCCAACUCCUAUGAGAUUUAUUCAACUUCCUGGUCAUUCUCCACCACUUUAUGUAUCCAAAUCAAGCUUCUCACAAAGUAAUUCAUCAUGGUUUGAUUGGAACGACGAAGAAGCUGUGCUAUUCCCAAACUGGGAAACUGGAGUCACCUGAUUUGAAAGUGGGAUAACUUCUUCUUCCCAACUCCUAUGAGAUUUAUUCAACUUCCUAGUGAUUCUCCACCACUUUAUGUAUCCAAAUCAAGCUUCUUACAAAGAGAUUCAUCCUGGUAUGAUUGGAACGACGAAGAAGCUGUGCUAUUCCCAAACUGGGAAACUGGAAUCACCAGAUUUGAAAGUGGGAUAACUUCUUCAUCCCAACUCCUAUGAGAUUUAUUCAACUUCCUAGUGAUUCUCCACCACUUUAUGUAUCCAAAUCAAGCUUCUUACAAAGAGAUUCAUCCUGGUAUGAUUGGAACGACGAAGAAGCUGUGCUAUUCCCAACCUGGGAAACUGGAAUCACAUGAUUUGAAAGUGGGAUAACUUCUUCUUGCCAACUCCUAUGAGAUUUAUUCAACUACCUGGUGAUUCUCCACCACUUUAUGUAUCCAAAUCAAGCUUCUCACAAAGUGAUUCAUCCUGGUUUGAUUGGAACGACAAAGAAGCUGUGCUAUUCCCAAACUGGGAAACUGGAAUCACCUGAUUUGAAAGUGGGAUAACUUCUUCAUCCCAACUCCUAUGAGAUUUAUUCAACUUCCUGGUGAUUCUCCACCACUUUAUGUAUUCAAUUCAAGCUUCUUACAAAGAUAUUCAUCCUGGUUUGAUUGGAACGACGAAGAAGAUGUGGUAUUCCCAAAUUGGGAAACUGGAAUCACGUGAUUUGAAAGUGGGAUAACUUCUCCAUCCCAACUCCUAUGAGAUUUAUUCAACUUCCUGGUGAUUCUCCACCACUUUAUGUAUCCAAAUCAGGCUUCUCACAAAGUGAUUCAUCCUGGUUUGAUUGGAACGAUGAUGAAGCUGUGCUAUUCCCAAACAGGGAAACUGGAAUCACCUGAUUUGAAAGUGGGAUAACUUCUUCAUCCCAACUCCUAUGAGAUUUAUUCAACUUCCUGGUCAUUCUCCACCACUUUAUGUAUCCAAAUCAAGCUUCUCACAAAGUGAUUCAUCCUGGUUUGAUUGGAACGACAAAGAAGCUGUGGUAUUCCCAAACUAGGAAACUGGAAUCACCUGAUUUGAAAGUGGGAUAACUUCUUCUUGCCAGCUCGUAUGAGAUUUAUUCAACUUCCUGGUUAUUCUCCACCACUUUAUGUAUCAAAAUAAAGCUUCUCACAAAGUGAUUCAUCCUGGUUUGAUUGGAACGACAAAGAAGCUGUGGUAUUCCCAAACUAGGAAACUGGAAUCACCUGAUUUGAAAGUUGGAUAACUUCUUCUUCCCAACUCCUAUGAGAUUUAUUUAACCUCCUGGUGAUUCUCCACCAUUUUAUGUAUCUAAAUCAAGCUUUUCACAAAGUGAUUCUUCCUGGUUUGAUUGGAACGACGAAGAAGCUGUCAUAUUCCCAAACUGGGAAACUAGAAUCACCUGAUUUGAAAGUGGGAUAACUUCUUCAUGCCAACUCCUAUGAGAUUUAUUCAACUUCCUGGUCAUUUUACACCACUUUAUGUAUCCAAAUCAAGCAUCUCACAAAGUGAUUCAUCCUGGUUUGAUUGGAACGAUGAUGAAGCUGUGCUAUUCCCAAACUGGGAAACUGGAAUCACCUGAUUUGAAAGUGGGAUAACUUCUUCUUGCCAACUCCUAUGAGAUUUAUUAAACUUCCUGGUGAUUCUCCACCACUUUAUGUAUCCAAAUCAAGCUUCUCACAAAGUGAUUUAUCCU